Cotesia glomerata is the source of this 100-nucleotide long non-coding RNA. RefSeq lists it as uncharacterized. The transcript is spliced from 3 exons. Lineage: Eukaryota; Metazoa; Arthropoda; Insecta; Hymenoptera; Braconidae. The record is from RefSeq and is a predicted model, not a curated record.
UCUUUAAAAAUGCUACACGGAGAAAAAAGUAUUGCUAUUAUAGCGAUCCAGUCGAUCGUGAACGAAGUAUCGUGAUUAGCUCAAAACAGUAUUGUCAUAU